CAACAGAUGUUGUCCUACACCUAGAAAACAGAGAAGUUGUAGCAGAGUGGGAACUGAGGGUGAUAGUGCAGUAUAAGACCAGUAUCGCUAGUUGGCGCUAAUGCAACAGUCUGGAUGCCAACCAGCAUUAAAACCAUGAAGAAGAAGAUGGUUCUUCUUGCCAGAUAGUGAUCUACUCAGAGCCAUGCUGUGUCCAUGUGCCCUGUAGGCCACCAACCAAUUCAACAACUCCUAGCCAUAAUGUUCAAAAGGAAGACAAGGAUACGGCCUGCUGAUGAUGCAACGUCAUAUAUUCUUUCGUCGAGGGACAAGCCAAGGUUUAUGGAAAGAUUUAUUGAUCAUAACAAAGGAAGAGGAGUGUUUGCUGUCUGCAGCCCAUCGAACCAGAUGCUUUUGUCUUGGAGUCCAGGGGAGAAUUCGUAUCAGUGGAAGAAUGCCGGUCAAGACACUACUCAGAGACACGGAGUACAUUUCUGUUUGAGUUUGAAUGGCAGAAACGUCACUGGUGUAUCGAUGCAUCCGGAGAAGAUGGAGUGAAUGAGAAACACAAAUCUCCGAACUGCAUCAUACUAAACAGCAGGCCAGAAGCAAGAACUGAAAUCAACUUCAACGAUUGCAAUUCAAAAUGGCCAUGGUGUUAAAAGGUGACAUACAAGCGGGCUUCUGCUGUGCAGUAGAGACCGAGACGUUCCCUAAAGAUCUGAUGAUUCUCAUGAGGAUUCAAACAGAGAAGAGGCUAAUGCACAGGUAAAGGAGUAAUGUAGACACCGUCGUAACAAACUAUAUUUGUUGACCUGUACACUAUGUAGU
Molecule: long non-coding RNA, 810 nt
Organism: Sebastes umbrosus (honeycomb rockfish)
Lineage: Eukaryota; Metazoa; Chordata; Actinopteri; Perciformes; Sebastidae
Exons: 5
Source: RefSeq, a predicted model, not a curated record